Molecule: long non-coding RNA, 285 nt
Filed under: Prunus dulcis (almond)
Lineage: Eukaryota; Viridiplantae; Streptophyta; Magnoliopsida; Rosales; Rosaceae
Description: sRNA ncRNA
Source: RNAcentral
AUGCAUAUCGCAUGUUUAUUGCAGACCUCACCAAAAAACCCAAAAAGAAUCAGCUGUGAGUUGGAAGAGAUAACUAAGAGGAGAGGAGCUGAGAGUCAAACCUCACCGAAAAACCCAAAAUUUGUUACACAAUCCCAAGACAAACUGAGAAAAAUUUGUUGCACAAUCCCAAAAUUUUAUAAACAAGUUUCAAGCAUCAUAUUCCUCAGAAAGUUCUUGUAUAAUCACACUGAAAUAACAUUCUCUACACAAGCUGAAAAUAUUAAUUGUAAAUCCAGAGAGUAA